UGGCACCUUCGGUGUCCGAGUUGUAAUUUGAAGAAGGUAACUUUGGAGUUGGCUCUUGUCUAUGUUCCUUGGAACAGGACGUCACAGAGGGUGAGAAUCCCGUGCGAUGAGAUGUCCAACUCUAUGUAAAGUGCUUUCGAAGAGUCGAGUUGUUUGGGAAUGCAGCUCUAAGUGGGUGGUAAAUUCCAUCUAAAGCUAAAUAUUGGCGAGAGACCGAUAGCGAACAAGUACAGUGAUGGAAAGAUGAAAAGAACUUUGAAAAGAGAGUGAAAAAGUACGUGAAAUUGUUGAAAGGGAAGGGUUUGAGAUCAGACUUGGUAUUUUGUAUGUCUUGCUUUCGGGUGGGGCCUCUGCAGUUUACUGGGCCAGCAUCGGUUUGGACGGUAGGAUAAUGACAUUGGAAUGUGGCACUACUUCGGUGGUGUGUUAUAGACUUUGUUGAUACUGCCUGUCUAGACCGAGGACUGCGUCUUUGACUAGGAUGCUGGCAUAAUGAUCCUAAAC
RNAcentral lists this ribosomal RNA (504 nucleotides) under Scheffersomyces shehatae. RNAcentral describes it as "eukaryotic LSU rRNA". It matches the Rfam family "Eukaryotic large subunit ribosomal RNA", at positions 123 to 645 of the family's 3401-position model. The record is from RNAcentral. Lineage: Eukaryota; Fungi; Ascomycota; Pichiomycetes; Serinales; Debaryomycetaceae.